Molecule: long non-coding RNA, 1901 nt
Filed under: Anas zonorhyncha (Eastern spot-billed duck)
Lineage: Eukaryota; Metazoa; Chordata; Aves; Anseriformes; Anatidae
Description: lncRNA (ENSAZOG00000010908.1)
Source: RNAcentral
GUUUUUAUUGGUUUGGUUUUUAUUUUAUUUUAGACAAUCCAUAAGAAUUAAUCUGGAUACAGCGAAACAGAUUCCCAGGUGGCUUAAUUUAGCAUCACUCCAAUGUCUUGAAAUGGGCAGCACUAACUUGUUACGCCAACUGUAAACGUGGCCCUUCAUGUCUUGUAUCAAUUUUCUUUUAAAUAACAAUCACACCAGCCCACAGUGAUAUUUAGCAUUACUCAAUCCUUGUAAAAAUGACAAACUUUACCUCCCCGCGAAGUUGCCUGUGAUUAGUCACACGUGGCAGUGUUACCAAGAGGCGACGCUGAGCAGUGCCCCGUGAGCUUCGCUUAAAUCUGGCUGUUAUGUCGGGCUGUACCUGUGCUACCCCCCUGAACCCUUAUUGUCAAGGGAAGCAAUUUCACAUCCUGCCUACUAAGUGAAGAGAUUGUGAAAGUUAUCUUCAUUGUUUUGAGAGAACAGAAUUUAUUCCCUUCAAAACAAGUGACCAGCUUUGCCUUAAUCAAGCGCACGUAUCCAGCCUUCAGCGAGGCAGGCUGGAGCCGAAGCCUUUCUGUUUCAUCCCGUUUCAAUCCGGUGUGUUGUCAGCUGAAACUGGCUCUUUUUAAUCUUUUGUAGUAAAUGUCAGGUGAGGAACUGACAGUUGUGAAGGUAACAAUUUUCCAUUUAUCCGCAGCCUGUGUAAUACAUGAGUGGAUACUUACUGCCUGUGAAUGACCAUCGCUGUCAAUCCAACUUAAAAUCCGUUCUCUUCUGUGCUUCUGGAGGGAUGCUGCCUGUGUAAUUUGUCUGUAGCUUAUAAAGGAGAGAGCAGCCGUGGAUUGAAGUCAGCAUUCAGUUUAUUAGUUGUAUUUUAAAUAUUUGAUCACAGUGAGGCUAAAAAUUCAACACCACUGUAACAUGGUAUGAUGCCUUAAAAUGCCUGUAGUAUUUGAGGUAGAUCAGAUGGAAAAAAAUAAUUGUUUGUGAGAAAAUGAUAAUUGCACGUAUAUCGCACUUCAAGCCGAAAUAUCAUAUAUUAUUUACAGUCUGGGGAAGAAAUAUGAGACUCCAGAUAAGAGGGAGAGGAGAGAUUAAUUUCAUCUCUUUGGUAAACACCCGCAGCAGCUGGGUGAGGCGUAAACAGGGGCCGUACCUGGCCAGAAGCAGAGCCUGCCGCGCGGACAGACGAGGGGUGGAGACGGCAGCUGGGAUCUGCAGCAGAGAAUCUGCACCUAGAUGUGCACCUGCCUGCGUGGCUCUUCCUUCCCUGCGUGCUGCCGAUGGGAUGGCAACGGCCACGCUCUUGGAACACGAAGGUGUGUGAAGAAACAAAGCUGGAGUAAGGGCAUGAAAAGGCAUCCUGGGGGAAAUAGGUCAGUCCUUUAUUUACCGUAGUGCUUUAGCUCUGAUUAUGCAAGGAGCUUAAUGCUGCUUCAGGUAGAGUAGGGCCUUGUAUUUCUAUGCAACACCUGCAGCGGCGGCGUGCUCUGCCAUUCCUCUGCCCGCGUUCCCAUUGAAUAAUAAGAACCAGGUUUUGGAAAGUACGCCAAACAUCUGGUAAAAUCAGGGCUCUACAAGUUUAUUCGAAAAUAUUCGUGAGCGUCACAGAUUUGCCAGGUGGUGAGCACUGUUGAAAAUCUGUCCCUAAUUUACUAUGUAAAUUAGGCCAUUAGGUUAAAUUGAUCUGCUUGUAAGUUAGCGUGCUACCCAGUAUGAGCUACGGGGGUAGAAGCUGUCCUGGUAAGACAUACACAUUUGACUAAAUUGUAUUUACAUUCCCUGCUCUCUUUAUGUGGUGGUCAUCCCCCUGUGAGUCAUCCCAAUACGCUCCAGGUUAUGUGGGAAUCUCGUCGUGGCAAAAUGUUGAUUUAAUGAGCUUGGAACAAGAGACACACAACAUCAAAAGCUGGGACACC